CACGUAGGGGACGAGCGUUGUCCGGAUUCAUUGGGCGUAAAGCGCGCGUAGGCGGCUCGGAAAGUCGGGCGUGAAAUGCCGGGGCUCAACCCCGGGACUGCGUCCGAUACUUCCGAGCUGGAGGUAGGCAGGGGAGAUCGGAAUUCCUGGUGUAGCGGUGAAAUGCGUAGAUAUCUGGAGGAACACCGGUGGCGAAGGCGGCAUCCUGGACCGGCAUUGACGCUGAGGAGCGAAAGCCAGGGGAGCAAACGGG
This 253-nucleotide ribosomal RNA is filed under the name uncultured bacterium. RNAcentral's name for it is "partial 16S ribosomal RNA". It matches the Rfam family "Bacterial small subunit ribosomal RNA", at positions 524 to 776 of the family's 1533-position model. The record is from RNAcentral.